AUUGAACGCUGGCGGCAGGCCUAACACAUGCAAGUCGAGCGGAUGAAGGGAGCUUGCCCCUGGAUUCAGCGGCGGACGGGUGAGUAAUUCCUAGGAAUCUGCCUGGUCUUGGGGGAUAACGUCCGGAAACGGGCGCUAAUACCGCACCCGUCCUGAGGUAGAAACUGAGGGAUCUUCGGACCUCACGCCAUCAGCUGAGCCUAGGUCGGAUUAGCUAGUUGGUGGGGUAAAGGCCUACCAAGGCGACGAUCCGUAACUGGUCUGAGAGGAUGAUCAGUCACACUGGAAUUGAGACACGGUCCAGACUCCUACGGGAGGCAGCAGUGGGGAAUAUUGGACAAUGGGCGAAAGCCUGAUCCAGCCAUGCCGCGUGUGUGAAGAAGGUCUUCGGAUUUUAAAGCACUUUAAGUUGGGAGGAAGGGCAGUAAGUUAAUACCUUGCUGUUUUGACGUUACCAACAGAAUAAGCACCGGCUAACUUCGUG
RNAcentral lists this ribosomal RNA (484 nucleotides) under uncultured bacterium. RNAcentral's name for it is "partial 16S ribosomal RNA". It matches the Rfam family "Bacterial small subunit ribosomal RNA", at positions 30 to 507 of the family's 1533-position model. The record is from RNAcentral.